This 248-nucleotide ribosomal RNA is filed under the name Prevotella sp. P2-180. Its description in RNAcentral is "partial 16S ribosomal RNA". It matches the Rfam family "Bacterial small subunit ribosomal RNA", at positions 335 to 580 of the family's 1533-position model. Lineage: Bacteria; Pseudomonadati; Bacteroidota; Bacteroidia; Bacteroidales; Prevotellaceae. The record is from RNAcentral.
ACUCCUACGGGAGGCAGCAGUGAGGAAUAUUGGUCAAUGGGCGAGAGCCUGAACCAGCCAAGUAGCGUGCAGGAUGACGGCCCUAUGGGUUGUAAACUGCUUUUAUGCGGGGAUAACGUGCGCCACGUGUGGUGUAUUGCAGGUACCGCAUGAAUAAGGACCGGCUAAUUCCGUGCCAGCAGCCGCGGUAAUACGGAAGGUCCGGGCGUUAUCCGGAUUUAUUGGGUUUAAAGGGAGCGUAGGCCGCU